This 505-nucleotide ribosomal RNA is filed under the name uncultured bacterium. Its description in RNAcentral is "partial 16S ribosomal RNA". It matches the Rfam family "Bacterial small subunit ribosomal RNA", at positions 30 to 523 of the family's 1533-position model. The record is from RNAcentral.
AUUGAACGCUGGCGGCGUGCCUAACACAUGCAAGUCGAGGGGUAACUAGAGUGAUAGCAAUAUUACUUUGGCUAGACCGGCGCACGGGUGCGUAACACGUAUGCAACCUACCUUAUACUGGGGAAUAACUUCGAGAAAUCGGCGCUAAUACCCCAUAACACUGCGGAGAGGCAUCUCUUUGCAGUUAAAGCUCCGGCGGUAUAAGAUGGGCAUGCGUCCAAUUAGCUAGUUGGUGAGGUAACGGCUCACCAAGGCUACGAUUGGUAGGGGUUCUGAGAGGAUGAUCCCCACACUGGUGCUGAGACACGGACCAGACUCCUACGGGAGGCAGCAGUGAGGAAUAUUGCGCAAUGGACGAAAGUCUGACGCAGCCAUGCCGCGUGCAGGAUGACGGCCCUAUGGGUUGUAAACUGCUUUUGUACGGGAAUAAACCCUUCUACGUGUAGGAGGCUGAAGGUACCGUAAGAAUAAGCACCGGCUAACUCCGUGCCAGCCGCCGCGGUAA